RNAcentral lists this long non-coding RNA (5543 nucleotides) under Linum usitatissimum (flax). RNAcentral describes it as "long non-coding RNA (LUSI_LNC002816)". The record is from RNAcentral. Lineage: Eukaryota; Viridiplantae; Streptophyta; Magnoliopsida; Malpighiales; Linaceae.
GACACCAAAAAUAAUCAAAGCAUCAAAGGCUAGAAAUCAUCAACUAACAUCACUAAAAAAACAUUCCAAAUAGGAGAACAACAACCACUGUAAAUAUGUCAAACAACUGAAAAAACAUGAAAAACUGUCUGAAAACUAUGAAAACAAUGAAAGAGAUAGCUGAGGUUCUCCAUGAUACCUCUCUCGCAUACUCCUGGAGUUGCUCCGAGGUGGUGUUGCUGCUCGUGCACCCUUCUUAGGCGGCAUUGGCUCCUGAAGUCCCAAGUCCGACUGUAACCUAGGGGAUCACGCAAUCCAUGAGGUGGGUGACCAACGUAUAACGUGAGCUAGUCUUUCUAGUCCUGUGUGACACCCCGAUUUCGGUUCAACCAUGGGUUCCGGUUUUAGAGACGAACUGGUCGAGUGUUGGGUUUGUAAUUGGUCAACCACAUGCGUGACUGUAGUUAGUCACAGGCAAGAUGAUCAGACUUAUCACAGUUAUGGGGAACAGUUAACCACAUGCAUGAGAGUCAGUAGGCCACGGGCAUGGGUAUGUAUCAACCAACGACAUGGUUGGGUGUUCGCCACGGGCGUGGUGGACUUAUUAUAUAAGUCAAUAUCGGGUUCAGAGACUUAGAAAAACAUAGAGAAAAUAUUAGAGACUCGGCGUCGCUCUCUAGAAGAUAGAGGAGAUCGAUGGUGAGGAAGAAACCAAUGUGAGUAGUCUAGGAUAAGAGGUGGGAGAUUUGAGAGGUUAGGAGAUUCAUGGGAAGGUGAGAAAUCCUCAUCCUCUCUCUCAAUCUCAUGGUUUUGAUUCUUGUAAGAAAACCUAACAGUCCGGUUUUGGAAGAUCCAACCCUCAAUCGGAUUCUUCGAAUGUAUCAGGAUGGGAGGAUCGAGCUUCAGGAAACGGCUUCAGAUCAGACUCUUAGGGAAAGCUAUUUAAGAGGUGGAGGCUAAGAUUACUUUUCUGCUUUAUACGAAGAAUUAUAAUUAGUUAUCAAGAAUCCUGGUUGGAUUUUCAGAAUUGUACAAUAACGUGCGAUCUACUAUAUAGACAGAUGUGUCAUGUAGUUUAGAAUUUAAGGUUGUGUAGUAGUAUGUGAUCUACUGCAUAGACAGUUAUUUAUGUUCGAGCAUAAACUCACAACGAGGAACUGUGCAUGUUUCACAGUUCAUGUUUAGGAUUCAGAAUCAGGACUAGAUAGACUAGCACACAUUAUAUUUUUGUCACCCACCCCAUAGAUUGCACGAUCCCUCAGGUUAAAUUUCACAACAAACAUGGCCAUCCCCUAGCCACGCCCGUAGCCAUGUGACAACCACGCCCGUCGUGGAUCCCUUUACAGUCACUAAACAUCCUUGCUUCUGUGAUACAGAUGUUCGGUGAAGGCUCUUCCUUAGGGCACUUGGUGCAUCUGAAGAACAAGCAUUCCUGAAAUUGAGCAGGAGAGGAUUCUGAGGCUGCUGCUUAUCUUGCCGCCCAAGAGGCGAAUCUGGCUAGGGGCACUGAUCAGGCUGCCGCUAGCAUCCUUAACAUCACCACCACGCUCACGCAUGGAGCGACUAUGGGGUAAGCCCGUCUAGCAUAUCGGGCUGAUUGAUAGGGGAGAGAUCAGGGAGACUCCCUUCGCUGAUUGGGAGGAGCGGGCAGCUAACCUCCUCCAAAAUGGACGUGCAUAGCGUGUCUUUUUGGUGGAUGAGCCUGCCUAUGAGGUGCUCGAGCAUGAGUUCGUAAUGACUUUGUAUGUGGACUCAACGUCGGGCGGACCCGACCAACACUUAUCUUCUCAAUAGCCGGGAAGGUCUGCCACCUCUCCCUCGACGAGCUGGCCAUUGUUUGUGGCUACUACGCCGAGGAAGAUAAGGCCACUGACUGGUUCUAGGGCAUGAUUACCUUUGCUUCUACCAAUUUUUUCCCUCAAUACUGGCUCCAGCUGAUGAGGAGGAACAUCUCUUUUGUUGUUGGUAAGUCAUCUGACCCAAACUUGUAUUUUCCUUAGCUUUAGCAAUUUAUUUGUACGAACUUUUGAUAUGUUUUGCGUGUAGGGGUGACCAAGACUGUUGAGUAGCGAGAUAAACUCCACUGCUUCCUCAACCACAUGAUGGCCCAUACCAUCACUAGCCGGACAGAGAGUACCAGUGUUAUCACUCUUAGGGAGCUGUCCCUUUUGUACUCCUGCGUGGCGAGAGAGCCGCUUCAUCUAGGUUGUCUUUUGGCCUUCACCUUCCGGUCCUUUUGCUUCAACACCUCCCCUAAGGCUCUCCCUAGCGGUGCUUAGAUCACCCGGAUUGCCCAUCACUUAGGCCUUUUGCAGCAUUACUCCCAGGUCCGCUGCUUCCCGUCAGUCCGCAUCGGCAAGGCCACCUUGCUAAAUAUGUGGAUGCUGAGUUGGAUUCACCGUAGCGGUCAGAUUAUCCUACUGGAGACUACUCUUAUCGCGGUGGCUCACCCUGAGGGAGGAGAUGCUACUAUGGCACCACCGGCUCCUCGUCAGCGGAGGGAACCCAACUCGAGGGUGUUGAUUGUAAUUGACCAGCUGUUGGCGCAAUUAUACAACCGCCUGAGCUUCGUCAACUCCAGGCUAAACUAGAUGGAAGCAGGCCUCGCUAGCCAAUACCCGGACAAGCCGGCUACUCCUGUCUAAUUCCCUUACCAGCAGACUGGCAAUGACGGGAAAGAUGAGGAGGAUGAGGAGGAUGAGGAGGAUGAGGAGGAGUGAGCUCGAGGCCCCAACUAUUUUCUAAUCUAUUUUCUUUCCACACUAAUUUUCUUAUGAUGCUUCCUUUCUAAAACUGAAACUGUAUAACUUAAGAUCGAUCUUAUUUAUUUUAGUUCCGAAUUUCUACUUGACCCUUAACUUUUCCUAAAAAAUACAAGAGUCUUCCUCCUCCAUUCUUCCCUUUUCUUCUCUGCUUUUGCCUCCUGAAACUUUUUCUGUUCUUUGUCGACCACACCCGUGGGCCUUCAGUUGGCAACGCCCAUGGUUAGCAUGUCAUCACGGUUGUGGCCACUGCUCUGUCACGCUGUGGCUCAUCACAACCAUGCCCGUGACGGUCUUCUCACCACGGUCGUGGUCGUACUACCAUCACGCCAGUAGCCUACUGUCCGUCACGCCUGUGGCUGACUGCUCUUCGACAAUUUCCAGACCUACUACUAUCUUCAACUUUAGCACAUCUUCCUCAGACAAAGAUUCUGACAGACAAGGAUUCUGAAUCCUCAAAUCAUGCUGAAAGACAAGACAGGUGGAGAUGCUACUCCGGUUCUAAAAAUACAACAAAAAGAUAACUACUUACAUAAAAUUCGACCUAGACUUGCAUUUUCAGAGUUGGUUGGAGUUUUUAUGUCAAUAGUUGUCGUUUUGUUGUAUCUCUACUUGUCUUGUUUUUCACUAUGAUUUGAGGAUUCAAAAUCCUUGUCUGUCAGUAUCAAAAGGUUUCAUAAAUAGUUCAUGUUCAGUUUUUAAUGUUUGUUUGAACCGAGGGGGGGGGGGGUGUUCUAUGAACUAUGAAUCACACACACAGUUCCUCGCUGUGAGCUUUAUGCUCGAAUCAUAGACACAUGUCUGUGUUGUAGAUCACACGCUACUGCACAGCCUGAGCUACUAACUACAUGGCAUAAGUAUUUGUACAAUAGAUCGCGCGCUACUGUACAGUUUCAAAAAUCCAAAUAAGGAUUCCUGACAACUAAAUUAAAAUUCUUCGCAUAAAGCAGAAUAGUAAUCCUAACACCUACCUCUGAAAGCUUUCCUUUGAAGAAUCUGAUCUGAAGCCGUCUCCAUAGAGCUCGAUUUCCUGAUCUAUAUGACCUGAUAGGAUUGAAAUCCCAAAAUCCAAAAUCCAAAUCUGUCAGCAUUUUCUUAUAUAGGAUUCAAAACAAGGGAUUGAGAAAGGAGGAAGGGGUAAAUUACCUUCUGAAACUUCCACAAACCUCUUACUGGUAUGGGAUUGAUCAACAAGCUACUCUCCCCUAUCUAGAACCGAUCGUCGUUCGUGAGAGAUUGCAAAGAAAAAUUAGGUUUCGAUAAACUGAACUCUGGAAUCGCGACUUUGAUUUUAUAAGCUAUCCACCACGCACGUGAUGACCUAGCAACCUCACACGUGGCCUAUUGAUGGUCAAGGUCGUAAUCCUCCAGUCAGCUAUGAAUGUGACUAUCACUGUCCACGACCAUGAUAUGAUGAUCACGUUCGUGACAGAUGAUCAGUCACGCCCGUGACGGUCAAUCUAAUAGUGAUUUUCAGAGACUCACAGAACCGAAACUAAACUCUGAGUCAGAUAUUAACCCGAAAUUGGGGUGUCACAGGUAACUUGCACAUCAUCAAGGGAUAUCAUAACCUGAUAUAACCUAACAUAACAUAGCCACCUACCCAUGACAUAACUGACAUGACAUAAAGUAACCACUUAAUCAUAAAGACAUUGACAUACAAUUAGCCGCAAAGAUCGAGUAAUAUCAUGAAGCGUAACAGAACAUAGUCACUUAACCGUCUAAAGAAUAACGUGACAUAAUGUAACCACUUAAUCAAUCUAGUGAUUUCAUAACGUAGUCUGGCAUGACAUAAUCACUUAACCAUUACAUGAAUUACCUGACAUAGGGUAAUCCGUUAAUUAUGGAAUCAUUGACAUAAACUGAAAUGCCUCAAUCACGUAAUGUUAUAACAUAACCUAACAUAUCCACAUAAUAAUGACAUGAAUGAUUUGACAUAAGGUGAGCACUUAAUCAUGGAAUCACAACAUGGAAUUACGUGCGUUAAAUUACUUAAAACUUGAUUUAACCUAAUGCAACGAUAAGAUUUUACCCCUUUGAACCACCCACCUGAUUGAUUGGUCGAAAUCUCAGAAAAGCGUUUAAGAAGAUUCCCCUUGCCACCACAAAUCCACAGCUUCUAACGGUGUGUUGUUUAGAACUCAAACAGUCAAUUAUGUUCCGGAAAUUCCUUUUGAAAAUGAAUAACUCUCGCAGAACUGUAAUUUCCACUUAUUGGCAAACUACAGAACUGGUCCCUGUACAGUUGAUCGAUUGGAGACCAGACACCCAAUGUUUCCAAGGUUACCAAACAGUUACUGAACUUUACCUGAAAUUUUCCCAAAAUUGAGGGCAGGUCACCAAACUCCCAAAAAUGACGUUUCAGUCAUUCUUCUUCUCCGGCGAGCGCCAAUCAUCUUGGCAACACCGCUCCGCUCUCUGGCCUUCCUCCGCCACCGCUAGUGGUACUAAACGCGGCCCACACGCCUUGCCGCUCGCCACUGUUUCAAUCUCCGCUCCGCUCCAAGGUCGUCGCCGCCGAGCUUUCCCUCAUCCAACGCCGCCACUGCCUCGGUUUUCUCCACGGUAGUCCUCCCUCUUCAAUCCAACGUCAGGAGCGUCUCAACCGCCGUCGCCAAGUUCCAAAUCUCGCUCUCUCUCUCUCUCUCUGAACGCCGGCGCCGCCAACGAUUUCUCUCUCUCCCUCUCUCUCCCAUGGCGGCAACAACAACCCAAGAGGGUGCCAACUCUCCUAGCUCUCUCUCCCGACUCCCUCUCAGCUACAUUAUUGAGUGCUCCCAACAAUUCGGAUAAUAACAAUGC